GACGGGACCCGCACAAGCGGUGGAUGAUGUGGAUUAAUUCGAUGCAACGCGAAAACCUUACCUACCCUUGACAUGCCAGGAACUUGCCAGAGAUGGCUUGGUGCCCGAAAGGGAGCCUGGACACAGGUGCUGCAUGGCUGUCGUCAGCUCGUGUCGUGAGAUGUUGGGUUAAGUCCCGCAACGAGCGCAACCCUUGUCAUUAGUUGCUACAUUCAGUUGGGCACUCUAAUGAGACUGCCGGUGACAAACCGGAGGAAGGUGGGGAUGACGUCAAGUCCUCAUGGCCCUUAUAGGUGGGGCUACACACGUCAUACAAUGGAUGGUACAAAGGGUCGCCAACCCGCGAGGGGGAGCCAAUCCCAUAAAGCCAUUCGUAGUCCGGAUCGCAGUCUGCAACUCGACUGCGUGAAGUCGGAAUCGCUAGUAAUCGUGGAUCAGAAUGUCACGGUGAAUACGUUCCCGGGUCUU
Molecule: ribosomal RNA, 468 nt
Filed under: uncultured Polaromonas sp.
Lineage: Bacteria; Pseudomonadati; Pseudomonadota; Betaproteobacteria; Burkholderiales; Comamonadaceae
Description: bacterial SSU rRNA
Rfam family: Bacterial small subunit ribosomal RNA
Source: RNAcentral